RNAcentral lists this non-coding RNA (21 nucleotides) under Arabidopsis thaliana (thale cress). The record is from RNAcentral. Lineage: Eukaryota; Viridiplantae; Streptophyta; Magnoliopsida; Brassicales; Brassicaceae.
UCUUUAGGUGGUUAACAUUGA